Molecule: ribosomal RNA, 492 nt
Filed under: uncultured bacterium
Lineage: Bacteria
Description: partial 16S ribosomal RNA
Rfam family: Bacterial small subunit ribosomal RNA
Source: RNAcentral
AGUGAACGCUGGCGGUAGGCCUAACACAUGCAAGUCGAACGGCAGCACAGUAACAGCUUGCUCUUACGGGUGGCGAGUGGCGGACGGGUGAGGAAUACAUCGGAAUCUACUUUUUCGUGGGGGAUAACGUAGGGAAACUUACGCUAAUACCGCAUACGACCUACGGGUGAAAGCAGGGGAUCUUCGGACCUUGCGCGAUUGAAUGAGCCGAUGUCGGAUUAGCUAGUUGGCGGGGUAAAGGCCCACCAAGGCGACGAUCCGUAGCUGGUCUGAGAGGAUGAUCAGCCACACUGGAACUGAGACACGGUCCAGACUCCUACGGGAGGCAGCAGUGGGGAAUAUUGGACAAUGGGCGCAAGCCUGAUCCAGCCAUACCGCGUGGGUGAAGAAGGCCUUCGGGUUGUAAAGCCCUUUUGUUGGGAAAGAAAAGCAGCAGGUUAAUACCCCGCUGUUCUGACGGUACCCAAAGAAUAAGCACCGGCUAACUUCGUG